RNAcentral lists this long non-coding RNA (672 nucleotides) under Malus domestica (apple). RNAcentral describes it as "long non-coding RNA (MDOM_LNC019748)". Lineage: Eukaryota; Viridiplantae; Streptophyta; Magnoliopsida; Rosales; Rosaceae. The record is from RNAcentral.
AACAUAAACUUUAUGAAAUAAAUCAAAACUUUGAAUCAAAACACCAAACUUUUUUGUUCUUGGCAAAAAUGUCAAGAACAAUGAAGAACACAUCAUGAAAAACCAAAAAAUUUCCAUGAACAUUUUUCACCCAAAAACAUUCCAAAACCAUUCAAACUUAAGGGAAAUAACAUAUAACCAAACUAGGGUACAUAGGGGUUCCAAAAGUCACUUGAAAACACUUUUAACAAGUCAAACAUGAACCUAAAAAAAAACACCCUUUGGAUUUGGCCGAAUUUUCCCAAAAACAUGGCACCAAAUUUUAGCUCCAAUAUUCAUGCUCAUAUGAACUACAUCUACAACAUUUGAGAUGGCAAAUUUUCUAACAAAAUUUACAUUCAAAGAAACAAGAAUAAAGCUUGUAACAUAUUACAACUUUUAAAUCACAAACUAUGAACUACAAAACCCAAAAGGAUUCACCAACUACUAGACCUAGGCUCUGAUACCACUUGAAGGAAUUUUUGUGAAAAACAUGUUCAUUUAAGCAACAUCUAUAGCAUGCAAUUAACAAUAAAAAGGCGGAAUCAUGCUUGUAUGCACUUAAAAACAAAAAACAUUACCCAUGAAAUUCAAAGCCUAGUAGAUUGGUGAACCAAGACUCAACUCAAAACAAAGUGAGUUGAGAAAUUAUAC